AACGAACGCUGGCGGCAUGCCUAACACAUGCAAGUCGAACGAGACCUUCGGGUCUAGUGGCGCACGGGUGCGUAACGCGUGGGAACCUGCCCUUAGGUUCGGAAUAACUCCCCGAAAGGGGUGCUAAUGCCGGAUAAUGUCUUCGGACCAAAGAUUUAUCGCCUUUGGAUGGGCCCGCGUUGGAUUAGCUAGUUGGUAGGGUAAAAGCCUACCAAGGCGACGAUCCAUAGCUGGUCUGAGAGGAUGAUCAGCCACACUGGGACUGAGACACGGCCCAGACUCCUACGGGAGGCAGCAGUGGGGAAUAUUGGACAAUAGGCGAAAGCCUGAUCCAGCAAUGCCGCGUGAGUGAUGAAGGCCUUAGGGUUGUAAAGCUCUUUUACCCGGGAUGAUAAUGACAGUACCGGGAGAAUAAGCUCCGGCUAACUCCGUG
RNAcentral lists this ribosomal RNA (433 nucleotides) under uncultured bacterium. RNAcentral describes it as "partial 16S ribosomal RNA". It matches the Rfam family "Bacterial small subunit ribosomal RNA", at positions 29 to 507 of the family's 1533-position model. The record is from RNAcentral.